RNAcentral lists this ribosomal RNA (253 nucleotides) under uncultured bacterium. Its description in RNAcentral is "partial 16S ribosomal RNA". It matches the Rfam family "Bacterial small subunit ribosomal RNA", at positions 524 to 776 of the family's 1533-position model. The record is from RNAcentral.
UACGAAGGGUGCAAGCGUUGCUCGGAAUUAUUGGGCGUAAAGGGUAGGUAGGUGGUCUUGUUUGUCUGAAGUGAAAUCCCUGGGCUUAACCCAGGAAGUGCUUUGGAAACGGCAAGACUAGAGUUCUGGAGAGGGUUGUGGAAUUCCCGGUGUAGCGGUGAAAUGCGUAGAGAUCGGGAGGAACACCAGAGGCGAAGGCGACAACCUGGACAGAUACUGACACUAAACUACGAAAGCGUGGGGAGCAAACAGG